This is an RNA transcript of Alosa sapidissima (American shad), 750 nucleotides long. It is a transcript of the gene named P2X purinoceptor 7-like, with no coding region annotated. Lineage: Eukaryota; Metazoa; Chordata; Actinopteri; Clupeiformes; Clupeidae. The record is from RefSeq and is a predicted model, not a curated record. The transcript has 5 exons.
ACCCCUAUGUGAAACGCCCGGUUGCUGAGAAUUUUGAGGGAGUUAGAAUCUUGGCGCUGACAGAAACGUCUCGUCAGACAUUUGUAAGUUAGGCGAUUAUGGCGUCAGUGCUGCCUUACCAAUUUGAACCAGAAUCCGACCCCGAAAGCGAUAAUGGAGCUGAUGGAGCCAAUGAUGAGCGCGAUGUUAGUCGUAGAUUGGACCAAGACGUUUCACUGUGGUGCACUUGUGGGAAUUGUGCCACUAUGCCUAGUGAAGUGGAGAACGUCUGCUGCAGAGAAAUCACAAAGGUAGUAAGACGAAUGAGCCAAGUGCCAAUACCCAUAAUGUGCAUGACAGAACAUCCAGGCCUAGAACCUGUGUGUCUAAACCCAUACAGUCUGCAAAAUAUCUACAACAUUUACAAAUAUGAUUACGGACCUGUUAGGCACAGAACAGAAGAAGAAUAAUAUCAAUCAACUUGCUGUUUUGUUGUUUUGAUUGAGUAAAGGCGUUUGAGGCAUCUUGCCUAUCGCAGCUUUGUAAGCUGGUGCUGGGGCUACUUAGGACCUAGUCGUCGGGUCAUCAUCCCGUCAUGUGUGGUGCAGCGGAUACGGCAGCAGUUCCCGUCUGGUGAUUACAUAGGCUUCAGACCACCUAUUGAUUGAAGCGGGAGACGUGACGGGCAACCAGCUCAGCCUUUGGAGUUUUCGGGAAUUCUGCUGAGAGGUCUGGAGGGAUGGGGAUGGUCUUCAAUUCCUCUGCAAAAGA